UACGGGGGGAGCAAGCGUUGUUCGGAUUUACUGGGCGUAAAGGGCGCGUAGGCGGUCGUGACAAGUCACUUGUGAAAUCUCCGGGCUCAACUCGGAACGGUCAAGUGAUACUGUCGUGCUAGAGUACAGAAGGGGCAACUGGAAUUCUCGGUGUAGCGGUGAAAUGCGUAGAUAUCAGGAGGAACACCGGUGGCGAAAGCGGCUACCUGGCCCAUUCUUGACGCUGAGGCGCGAAAGCUAGGGGAGCAAACGGG
This 254-nucleotide ribosomal RNA is filed under the name uncultured bacterium. Its description in RNAcentral is "partial 16S ribosomal RNA". It matches the Rfam family "Bacterial small subunit ribosomal RNA", at positions 524 to 776 of the family's 1533-position model. The record is from RNAcentral.